This 471-nucleotide ribosomal RNA is filed under the name Salmonella enterica. RNAcentral describes it as "bacterial SSU rRNA". It matches the Rfam family "Bacterial small subunit ribosomal RNA", at positions 1 to 468 of the family's 1533-position model. Lineage: Bacteria; Pseudomonadati; Pseudomonadota; Gammaproteobacteria; Enterobacterales; Enterobacteriaceae. The record is from RNAcentral.
AAAUUGAAGAGUUUGAUCAUGGCUCAGAUUGAACGCUGGCGGCAGGCCUAACACAUGCAAGUCGAACGGUAACAGGAAGCAGCUUGCUGCUUCGCUGACGAGUGGCGGACGGGUGAGUAAUGUCUGGGAAACUGCCUGAUGGAGGGGGAUAACUACUGGAAACGGUGGCUAAUACCGCAUAACGUCGCAAGACCAAAGAGGGGGACCUUCGGGCCUCUUGCCAUCAGAUGUGCCCAGAUGGGAUUAGCUUGUUGGUGAGGUAACGGCUCACCAAGGCGACGAUCCCUGGCUGGUCUGAGAGGAUGACCAGCCACACUGGAACUGAGACACGGUCCAGACUCCUACGGGAGGCAGCAGUGGGGAAUAUUGCACAAUGGGCGCAAGCCUGAUGCAGCCAUGCCGCGUGUAUGAAGAAGGCCUUCGGGUUGUAAAGUACUUUCAGCGGGGAGGAAGGUGUUGUGGUUAAUAACC